CAGUGAAUAAUGGCAAACUGGUCAUCGCAGAUCACUGGGCUGGUCCAUUGGAAGCGGAGAGUGAGGUUCCUAGGUUGAUGUAGCAGAUGACUGAGCGCCACAACAGAGCUAGUCGGUCACAGCCUCUGCAACACCAACCCUAACUUUGCAAAGACCGCCUAGGACAUUCAUAAAGUCCCACCCCAAACCUUUCCACUGCCGAGGAAACAAUUUUGAGGUGGAAAUUAAUGGAUUACUUGUGAAGUAAGCCCACAUGUUUGAACUAAAGGUCACCUCUGGAGCAUCCAGGAAAAUGUUGCCAAGUCGUGAGCCCUACCUAAGUACAUGAGACGUUUAGGUGCACAUGUGUGCACUUCAGAUAUUUUACUUAACCGAGUGUGUGUUGUGUUUGGCCGGGAUCACUUGGAGAGCCUGGGACUCCCUUCCAUUAUAAUUAACGUAUUUCAUGACUUCUCACUACAGUUGCGAAGAUGGAAGAAAAAUAGACAGGUUGACAUUCUCUUUUCACAUUCCUCAUUUGAAACUGGCUGGGAUCGUGCAGCCAAAAGGAGUCAUUAUUUUGCUUGGCAGGUCUGCAGUAAUUCUCAAAACUUCCAUUGGGUGAUUAACAGGAGCAGCAAGGAAGCGAAACUUCACCCGGAUGAGGGUGGAGGAAGGGUGUCUGUGUGUGCGAGUUUCCCCAGGGCUGAUGAGGUGUGGUUUCUGGUUCUUGGCAUGAUGUGGGUGCUUGGGAAGAUUCCCCUGAGUAACCGCAGAAUAAGAGGGUGAAGUCUGAAAGAGCUGUAGGCCCCAUGCCCAGCGUCCCAUGCUCCCCCUCACAGUUUGUGGGACUUUUUCUUCCACAGGGUGGCUUUGGCCGAAGGGGACCCCCUGGAGCUAAGGGCAACAAGGGCGGUUCUGGCCAGCCAGGCUUUGAGGGAGAGCAGGGGACCAGAGGUGCACAGGGCCCAGCUGGUCCUGCUGGUCCUCCAGGGCUGAUAGGAGAACAAGGCAUUUCUGGACCUCGGGGAAGCGGAGGUGCCGCCGGUGCUCCUGGAGAACGAGGCAGAACCGGUCCCCUAGGAAGAAAGGGUGAGCCCGGAGAGCCAGGACCAAAAGGAGGAAUCGGGAACCGGGGCCCUCGUGGGGAGACGGGAGAUGACGGGAGAGACGGAGUUGGCAGUGAAGGACGCAGAGGCAAAAAAGGAGAAAGAGGAUUCCCUGGAUACCCAGGACCAAAGGGUAACCCAGGUGAGCCUGGGCUAAAUGGAACAACAGGACCCAAAGGCAUCAGAGGCCGAAGGGGAAAUUCGGGACCUCCAGGGAUAGUUGGACAGAAGGGAGACCCUGGCUACCCAGGACCAGCUGGUCCCAAGGGCAACAGAGGCGACUCCAUCGAUCAAUGUGCCCUCAUCCAAAGCAUCAAAGAUAAAUGCCCUUGCUGUUAUGGGCCCCUGGAGUGUCCCGUCUUCCCAACAGAACUAGCCUUUGCUUUAGACACCUCUGAGGGGGUCAACCAAGACACUUUCGGCCGGAUGCGAGAUGUGGUCUUGAGUAUUGUGAAUGACCUGACCAUUGCUGAGAGCAACUGCCCACGGGGGGCCCGGGUGGCUGUGGUCACCUACAACAAUGAGGUGACCACGGAGAUCCGGUUUGCUGACUCCAAGAGGAAGUCGGUCCUCCUGGACAAGAUUAAGAACCUUCAGGUGGCUCUGACGUCCAAACAGCAGAGUCUGGAGACCGCCAUGUCAUUUGUGGCCAGGAACACAUUUAAGCGUGUGAGGAACGGAUUCCUAAUGAGGAAAGUGGCUGUUUUCUUCAGCAACACGCCCACGAGAGCAUCCCCACAGCUCAGAGAGGCUGUGCUCAAGCUCUCAGAUGCAGGGAUCACCCCCUUGUUCCUUACAAGCCAGGAAGACCGGCAGCUCAUCAACGCUUUGCAGGUCUGUGCUCUGUGGGUGCUGUUGGCAUCUCCCUUUCUUCUGGGGCUCUGAGAAAAUUCUCAGACACGUCCAUGCUCCUUGGCAACUUCAUGUCCCAUAGCUCCUAAAACGUCCCCAAUGAGGCCAUUUGCCUGAGAACUUCUCUUGUGAGGUCUCCAGGACAGCCUCGUGGCUCCAGCACUACAGGGACGCCUACAUGCCUGUAGUACUGCCCCCAGGUCCCUCCUCACAUGUUGGCCACUCUUGCCGGUUAGUGAUGCUAGUGUUGGUGACACCCUCUAUCUACUAACAAGGGGGUGUGACUUGUUUGCUUUAUUCAUGAGGACCUGGACGUUUGAAUCAGUCCUGUCUCCUCCCAAGAUGGCCCCCUAUGCACACUCUGAGCUGUGUCUUACUGUGUACUGGGCAUUUGCUUCCCAUAACUGGCUGGUGAAGUUUGUAUCAUCAGUCUCACCUCAUGGAUAGGAAGAUCCUGCUGUUAGUGAGGUGCUCGUGAGAAGCUAGGACCCUAGUCCAUUAGACUCUGAAACCCAUGUGCUGAUGAUACCCAUUCCACUCUCCACUCUGUCUCAAUCGGCCCUGAAGGUGAAUAUCCAGGGUGGCCCUGGAGGCCUGCAGUCUCUUAGUGAGGUACCCAAAACUACACCGACUCAGCACCCCCAAUCUACACCACUGUGCAAAGCUUUCAUCAGUCAGGCCCCAAGGGUCAGCCCACAGAGAGGCCAAGUGUCCCUUGUAAUUCUAUUAAAUAACUGGUUUAAUUGGUUUUUAUUUUAUUUUUUUGAGACAGAGUCUUGCUCUGUCACCCAGGCUGGAGUGCAAUGGCGUGAUCUCGGCUCACUGCAACCUCCACCUUCCAGUUGCAAGCGAUUCUCCUGCUUCAGCCUCCUGAGUAGCUGGGAUUACAGGCACUCACCACCAUGCCUGGCUAAUUUUUGUAUUUUUCUUUUUUUUUUUUUUUUUUUAGUAGAGACGGGGUUUCACCACGUUGGUCAGGCUGGUCUUGAACUCCUGACCUUGUGAUCCGCCUGCCUCAGCCUCCCAAAGUGUUGGGGUUAUAGGCGUAAGCCACCGCACCCAGCCAACUGGUUUAAUUCCUAUAUCAAUUAAUAUUUAUUCAGUGCAGUUCUGGUGAUACUGUUCAAGACAGAUGGGUGAUGGGUAGGAAGGAGUCCACCCACCCGGGAGUCAGGAGGCCUUGGCCUGGUUCCACACUCCCCUCACUCAUUUAAAGUAAUGUGCACGCCACUUAGCUUCCCUGCGUCUCAGAUUUGUCACCUGUAAGUUGAGGCUGGGGCAGGAUGAUUGCUAAUGUCUUUCCUUCCACAUUGGAUAUUCUGUGCUUUUACCACAGCCUGUGUCAGCAAAAGACAUUGGGUCAUCACUGCCAUUCCUCAGUGCUUAUUCUGCCAAACACAGGAUGAUUUGUGCACAGAGUGCUGGGCUUGGGAAUCCAGUGUUGAAGUUGGGCUACUGGCCAUGAGCUCUUGAUGUGGGGGUUCAUUCACAUAAAUCUGCCCUUGUGUGGGCUGAGGGACCCAGAACCACAUGAGUUUCUUAGCAUGGUUUCAACAAGAUCAAAAAAUUAUUCAUUCAUUAAUUAUUUGCUCAGUCAUUCAUUCAAACUAGCUAAUUGUUAAAUGAAUAAUUACUAAUCGUGUCCCAGGUACUGCGAUAGACAGGACUCUUUGCACCCACUGGGAGUGAUUUUGUUACUUGCUUUAACCACACCUGAGAGGGUGGGGAAGGAAUGGAGCUCCCAUGUUGUUGCUAAAAAUAACGAUAAGAUUAAGUUCCUACUAUUUGCCAGAGGAUACACCAGGUACUAACAUUUACUAUCUAAUUUAACCCUCCAAAUGACACCAUUAGGAAGGUAUUACCCCCCAUUUUACAGCUGAAAAAAACUGAACCCCAUUUGAACGGGAUAUGAACUCCAGCUCACCCUAUUAGAAUAAAACCUAUGUCUUUCUAUUAUACUCAGAGCCUAGCCCCACCCCCAAAUGAGAAGAUAUUCCCAAUACUGCCCUAUUGGGAAGUUAAUCUAUUUUAUUGAUGUAGCUUUGAUUUACUCCUCUGCCAUAUUUUCAGAUAUUACUGAUCAUGUACGCCCCUACCAAAAUUGUUCUUUUGUUUAAACCAGAUCAAUAACACAGCAGUGGGGCAUGCGCUUGUCCUGCCUGCAGGGAGAGACCUCACAGACUUCCUGGAGAAUGUUCUCACGUGUCAUGUUUGCUUGGACAUCUGCAACAUCGACCCAUCCUGCGGAUUUGGCAGUUGGAGGCCUUCCUUCAGGGACAGGAGAGCAGCAGGGAGCGAUGUGGACAUCGACAUGGCUUUUGUCUUAGACAGCGCUGAGACCACCACCCUGUUCCAGUUCAAUGAGAUGAAGAAGUACAUAGCGUACCUGGUCAGACAACUGGACAUGAGCCCAGACCCCAAGGCCUCCCAGCACUUCGCCAGAGUGGCCGUUGUGCAGCACGCGCCCUCUGAGUCCAUGGGCAAUGCCAGCAUGCCACCUGUGAAGGUGGAAUUCUCCCUGACUGACUAUGGCUCCAAGGAGAAGCUGGUGGACUUCCUCAGCAGGGGAAUGACACAGUUGCAGGGAACCAGGGCCUUGGGAAGUGCCAUUGAAUACACCAUAGAGAAUGUCUUUGAAAGUGCCCCAAACCCACGGGACCUGAAAAUUGUGGUCCUGAUGCUGACGGGCGAGGUGCAGGAGCAGCAGCUGGAGGAGGCCCAGAGAGUCAUCCUGCAGGCCAAAUGCAAGGGCUACUUCUUCGUGGUCCUGGGCAUUGGCAGGAAGGUGAACAUCAAGGAGGUAUACACCUUUGCCAGUGAGCCAAACGACGUCUUCUUCAAAUUAGUGGACAAGUCCACCGAGCUCAACGAGGAGCCUUUGAUGCGCUUCGGGAGGCUGUUGCCGUCCUUCGUCAGCAGUGAAAAUGCUUUUUACUUGUCCCCAGAUAUCAGGAAACAGUGUGAUUGGUUCCAGGGGGACCAACCCACAAAGAACCUUGUGAAGUUUGGUCACAAACAAGUAAAUGUUCCGAAUAAUGUUACUUCAAGUCCUACAUCCAACCCAGCGAUGACAACGAAGCCGGUGACUACGAUGAAGCCGGUGACCACUACAACAAAGCCUGUAACCACCACAACAAAGCCUGUAGCUAUUGUAAAUCAGCCAUCUGCGAAGCCAGCCGCUGCAAAGCCGGCCCCUGUGAAACCAGCCCCUGCAAAACCUAUGGCUGCCAAGCCUGUGGCCACGAAGACGGCCACUGUUAGACCCCCAGUGGUGGUGAAGCCAGCAACAGCAGCGAAGCCUGUAGCAGCAAAGCCAGCAGCUGUAAGACCCCCCGCUGCUGCUGCUGCAAAACCAGUGGUGACCAAGCCUGAGGCCCCUAGGCCCCAGGCAGCCAAACCAGCUGCCACCAAGCCAGCCACCACUAAGCCCGUGGUUAGGGUGUCCCGUGAAGUCCAGGUGUUUGAGAUAACAGAGAACAGCGCCAAACUCCACUGGGAGAGGCCUGAGCCCCCCAGUCCUUAUUUUUAUGACCUCACCGUCACCUCAGCCCAUGAUCAGUCCCUGGUUCUGAAGCAGAACCUUACAGUCACGGACCGCAUCAUCGGAGGCCUGCUUGCUGGGCAGACAUACCAUGUGGCUGUGGUCUGCUACCUGAGGUCUCAGGUCAGAGCCACCUACCACGGAAGUUUCAGUACAAAGAAAUCUCAGCCCCCACCUCCACAGCCAGCAAGGUCAGCUUCUAGUUCAACCAUCAAUCUAAUGGUGAGCACAGAACCGUUGGCUCUCACUGAAACAGAUAUAUGCAAAUUGCCGAAAGACGAAGGAACUUGCAGGGAUUUCAUAUUAAAAUGGUACUAUGAUCCAAACACCAAAAGCUGUGCAAGAUUCUGGUAUGGAGGUUGUGGUGGAAACGAAAACAAAUUUGGAUCACAGAAAGAAUGUGAAAAGGUUUGCGCUCCUGUGCUCGCCAAACCCGGAGUCAUCAGUGUGAUGGGAACCUAAGCGUGGCUGGCCAACAUCAUAUACCUCUUGAAGAAGAAGGAGUCAGCCAUCGCCAACUUGUCUCUGUAGAAGCUCCGGGUGUAGAUUCCCUUGCACUGUAUCAUUUCAUGCUUUGAUUUACACUCGAACUCGGGAGGGAACAUCCUGCUGCAUGACCUGUCAGUAUGGUGCUAAUGUGUCUGUGGACCCUCGCUCUCCGUCUCCAGGCAGUUCUCUCGAAUACUUUGAAUGUUGUGUAACAGUUAGCCACUGCUGGUGUUUAUGUGAACAUUCCUAUCAAUUCAAAUUCCCUCUGGAGUUUCAUGUUAUGCCUGUUGCAGGCAAAUGUAAAGUCUAGAAAAUAAUGCAAAUGUCACGGCUACUCUAUAUACUUUUGCUUGGUUCAUUUUUUUUCCCUUUUAGUUAAGCAUGACUUUAGAUGGGAAGCCUGUGUAUCGUGGAGAAACAAGAGACCAACUUUUUCAUUCCCUGCCCCCAAUUUCCUGGAUUAGAUUUCAAGCUAAUUUUCUUUUUCUAAAGCCUCUAACAAAUGAUCUAGUUGAGAAGGAAGCAAAAUCCCUUUAUCUAUGUGCACCGUUGGGACCAAUGCCUUAAUUAAAGAAUUAAAAAAAGUUGUAAUAGAGAAUAUUUUUGGCAUUCCUCUAAUGUUGUGUGUGUGUUUUUUUUUGUGCAGGGGGGAGGGGAUUUAAUUUUAAUUUUAAAAUUUUUAGGAAAUUUAUACAAAGAAACUUUUUAAUAAAGUAUAUUGAAAGUC
Molecule: small RNA, 6697 nt
Filed under: Pongo abelii (Sumatran orangutan)
Lineage: Eukaryota; Metazoa; Chordata; Mammalia; Primates; Hominidae
Description: retained intron
Source: RNAcentral